AUCUCCUAUAUGAUCAGCUUCAUGAAAGCUAUACAAAAGACCAAAGGGAGAACCCACCUUAUUCCUGACUUGCAGGGGCACUCGAACAGUCAAGAUAGAGAGAAGCUACUUGCAAAGAUGAGGAAAAACAUCGACUUCUUUAAUAAUAUGGUUGCCACUACGCAUGUGUUCAUGAUGAGGAGCAUCAUUUAAGAGCACAAUAACGGAAAGACAAGUUGAAGUGCAGCUGAGAAUGGGUCGGAAAAUUUCUGAGAUCAAAAACAUCAGUUUGAGGUGUCUCGGUCCAGCUGUCCUUGGGGAAUGUGACUCACAAGGGGUCCUGUUAAGUCUGCCAUUUUGAAGUGUGCUUUUGAAUGAUGUAUCUGAAACAGUAGCCAGAGUUUGCCACUCUGUUAUUUUUCUUCAACAUCUUUAUAUGUAGGGACAACUGAAGAUUGCUUCUACAACAGGCUGACAGAAAAUGUAGAAGUCAAAGUUGGUGAAGCAUUGUCUUCCCUUCACACAGAUUUGUUUUUAGCUUGAAUAUGCUCUGAGCAAAAUCAGACUAUGAGAUGAAAUCAUUGGGAAGAGCGGUGGACCAUGUCUGACAAGAGAAGACGUUUGGUCACAGCAGACGUGGCAUCACCAAUCAGUGGGAAAUGCAUGUUUUCUGCUCAUCAAAAGAAUGGUCAAGCGCAGCUUUGUUUUUAUUACAAGAAGAACAUUACAUGUAGGGCAGCAUGGUGGUGCAGUGGGUAGCGUUGCUGCCUCAC
Long non-coding RNA from Polypterus senegalus (gray bichir), 752 nucleotides. RefSeq lists it as uncharacterized. NCBI's taxonomy places the organism in Eukaryota, Metazoa, Chordata, Cladistia, Polypteriformes, Polypteridae. The transcript is spliced from 3 exons. The record is from RefSeq and is a predicted model, not a curated record.